GUCUCUGUAGUUGAAAUUUAGACAACGGUGGUUUUUCAGGCCAUAGUUCUUGGAAAAAAGCCAAGCGGAGACC
RNAcentral lists this transfer RNA (73 nucleotides) under Rhinoptilus africanus (double-banded courser). RNAcentral's name for it is "tRNA-Glu". The record is from RNAcentral. Lineage: Eukaryota; Metazoa; Chordata; Aves; Charadriiformes; Glareolidae.